RNAcentral lists this ribosomal RNA (2033 nucleotides) under uncultured fungus. RNAcentral describes it as "bacterial SSU rRNA". The stretch from base 1 to 622 matches the Rfam family "Eukaryotic small subunit ribosomal RNA", at positions 1185 to 1831 of the family's 1831-position model. The record is from RNAcentral. Lineage: Eukaryota; Fungi.
GCGGCUUAAUUUGACUCAACACGGGAAAACUCACCAGGUCCAGACAUAGUAAGGAUUGACAGAUUGAGAGCUCUUUCAUGAUUCUAUGGGUGGUGGUGCAUGGCCGUUCUUAGUUGGUGGAGUGAUUUGUCUGGUUAAUUCCGAUAACGAACGAGACCUUAACCUGCUAAAUAGACUGACGAACCUUUGGUUGGUUUAGUCUUCUUAGAGGGACUAUCUGUGUUUAACAGAUGGAAGUUUGAGGCAAUAACAGGUCUGUGAUGCCCUUAGAUGUUCUGGGCCGCACGCGCGCUACACUGAUAAAGGCAGCGAGUAUCACCUUGACCGGAAGGUCUGGGUAAUCUUCUGAAACUUUAUCGUGAUGGGGAUAGAGCAUUGCAAUUAUUGCUCUUGAACGAGGAAUUCCUAGUAAGUGCGAGUCAUCAGCUCGCGUUGAUUACGUCCCUGCCCUUUGUACACACCGCCCGUCGAUACUACCGAUUGAAUGGCUUAGUGAGACCUUUGGAUGAGGCUUCAUGGCCGCAAGGCUAAUAAAGACUCAGAAAUUGGUCAAACUUGGUCAUUUAGAGGAAGUAAAAGUCGUAACAAGGUUUCCGUAGGUGAACCUGCGGAAGGAUCAUUACAAAUCCAAACAAAUACCCGUUGAAAUGUUUUCGGCCUUGGGCAAAGCUAUCUUCAUGAUCCAGCUUGGAUUGCAUAAAUCUAACUGUGAAGUGAAGAAAGCAGUGCAAACGCGUUAUCGUGUUAAACCAAGGUACCGACCUACUAAAUACUUAUUCUGUUGACAUCACUAUAAAAUGUUUUCUUAUCGGAAACGACAAGGAUACAAUUUUAAACAAAUACAACUUUUAACAAUGGAUCUCUAGGCUCUUGCAACGAUGAAGAACGCAGCAAAAUGCGAAAUGUCGUGUGACAUGCAUUCCUCGUGAAUCAUCAAAUCUNNNNNNNNNNNNNNNNNNNNNNNNNNNNNNNNNNNNNNNNNNNNNNNNNNNNNNNNNNNNNNNNNNNNNNNNNNNNNNNNNNNNNNNNNNNNNNNNNNNNCUUUGAACGCACAUUGCACCUUCUGGCUCUGUCAGAAGGUAUACUUGUUUGAGUAUCGUAUAACCUUCUCUCUCGGAUCUCUUUUCGAAGCGAUCAUCAACGGGAGGACCUGAGAGUCUUGCCUCUUUUGAACUUCAUGUUCAAAAGAUCAGCGCUAGUCUCUUUAAAUUCAUGCCUGGCUAAGGUCUCUAGUCUCGGUUCAUAACUUGUUUCGGCGAGUUUCUGAACGGUCUAAUGGGAUAACAUCCAAUCAUUAGUCUACUAGAUCCCCUUGCUUAUGCAGGCAAUUGACCAUACCAGUAUGUUUACAGCAGUCAUGCUUAAAUUUACGGUAUAUCUUUAACUUUACCGAUCUCAAAUCAAGUAGGAUUACCCGCUGAACUUAAGCAUAUCAGUAAGCGGAGGAAAAGAAACUAACAAGGAUUCCCUUAGUAACGGCGAGUGAAGUGGGAAAAGCUCAAAUUUUAAAUCUGGCACCUUUGGUGUCCGAAUUGUAUUUGAUAGUGCUUUCUUGUGGCAAACAUGAUGGCUUAAGUCUCUUGGAAAAGGGCAUCAUAGAGGGUGACAAUCCCGUCUAGGUCAUUAUUGUGCGUCAAUAUCAAGGAGGCUCGACGAGUCAGGUUGCUUGGGAAUGCAGCCCAAAAUGGGAGGUACAUUUCUCCUAAAGCUAAAUAUUGGCAAGAGACCGAUAGCGAACAAGUACCGUGAGGGAAAGAUGAAAAGAACUUUGAAAAGAGAGUUAAACAGUACGUGAAAUUGUUAAAAGGGAAACGAUUGAGAUCAGUGAUGUUCCUUCCGUUUCAGCUUGACCGUUUACGGUCUGGCGUAUUACGGAAGGAACAGGUCGACUCCCAUUGUUAGGUCUGGAUAAGGCUUGCGGAAAUGUGGCUUCACCUUCGGGUGACGGCUUUAUAGUCCGCUUGAGAUACAGACUUGACGAUGGGCGAAAGGAACUACCUUUCCCGAGGACGGUAACCCGUUCAAGUCGAACC